Hyaloscypha finlandica is the source of this 73-nucleotide non-coding RNA. The record is from the annotation of a GenBank genome assembly. Lineage: Eukaryota; Fungi; Ascomycota; Leotiomycetes; Helotiales; Hyaloscyphaceae.
GGCCUUAUAGUGUAAUAGUUAACACGUAGAGUUUACAAGCUCUAAAGUCUAGGUUCGAUCCCUAGUAAGGCCC